UUUUGCUUCCUAAAUGCGGCCAGCGGCUUGCUGCUGUGUAGGGAGGAAGAUAUGACUUAGAGCGCUGCUUGUGUGCGGUCACCGUCUAUCCAUCGAUCAGCGAAGAUUAGAUCUGCCGUCGCAAGUCGAAUGGAAAAUAAGAAAACAGUUGGCGGUUCGUGUUCUAUCCGUCUUGGGCUUUUCUUGAAGAAGUCCGGCCACGAUUAGUUCCCAUAGAAUUUAGAGUAUCCAACCAUCGCACACACAUGCAUACAAACACAAGUGAAACAGCCUCAAAAGCCUCCGUGAGAAAACUUUCUCCCAAUUCCUACAUGAGGCAAUCAACCGACUUCCCGUCUCUUGCCGGAUGAAGGGCUUCAAGUUCACAUCACACGAAACAAUAUUGCACUUUUUAUUUCUUUUACAUGAAACAUUAAACAUGGGCCGACUUGUUUUGA
Daphnia magna is the source of this 437-nucleotide long non-coding RNA. RefSeq lists it as uncharacterized. The transcript has 2 exons. NCBI's taxonomy places the organism in Eukaryota, Metazoa, Arthropoda, Branchiopoda, Diplostraca, Daphniidae. The record is from RefSeq and is a predicted model, not a curated record.